CCUACGGGUGGCAGCAGGGAGGAAUAUUGGUCAAUGGCCGGAAGGCUGAACCAGCCAUGCCGCGUGAAGGGCAGGGACCUAGGGGCGUUAAACUUCUUUUGUGCGGGAGCAAGAAUGGGCACGGGUGGCCAGACGAGAGUACCGUACGAAGAAGCAGCGGCUAACUCCGUGCCAGCAGCCGCGGUAAUACGGGGGAUGCAAGCGUUAUCCGGAUUUAUUGGGUUUCAAGGGUGCGUAGGCUGUGAGGUCAGUCAGCGGGGAAAUGCCCCCGCUCAACUGGGUGAAGGGCCAUUGAUACUGCCUUGCUGGACUGCGGAUGCCGUGGGAGGAAUGUGUGGUGUAGCGG
RNAcentral lists this ribosomal RNA (346 nucleotides) under uncultured bacterium. Its description in RNAcentral is "partial 16S ribosomal RNA". It matches the Rfam family "Bacterial small subunit ribosomal RNA", at positions 338 to 681 of the family's 1533-position model. The record is from RNAcentral.